CCAGUAGUCAUAUGCUUGUCUCAAAGAUUAAGCCAUGCAUGUCUAAGUAUAAGCACUUUAUACUGUGAAACUGCGAAUGGCUCAUUAAAUCAGUUAUCGUUUAUUUGAUAGUACCUUACUACAUGGAUACCUGUGGUAAUUCUAGAGCUAAUACAUGCUGAAAACCUCGACUCCGGAAGGGGUGUAUUUAUUAGAUAAAAAACCAAUGCCCUUCGGGGCUCCUUGGUGAAUCAUAAUAACUUAACGAAUCGCAUGGCCUUGCGCCGGCGAUGGUUCAUUCAAAUUUCUGCCCUAUCAACUUUCGAUGGUAGGAUAGUGGCCUACCAUGGUGGCAACGGGUAACGGGGAAUUAGGGUUCGAUUCCGGAGAGGGAGCCUGAGAAACGGCUACCACAUCCAAGGAAGGCAGCAGGCGCGCAAAUUACCCAAUCCCGACACGGGGAGGUAGUGACAAUAAAUACUGAUACGGGGCUCUUUUGGGUCUCGUAAUUGGAAUGAGUACAAUCUAAAUCCCUUAACGAGGAACAAUUGGAGGGCAAGUCUGGUGCCAGCAGCCGCGGUAAUUCCAGCUCCAAUAGCGUAUAUUAAAGUUGUUGCAGUUAAAAAGCUCGUAGUUGAACCUUGGGUCUGGCUGGCCGGUCCGCCUCACCGCGAGUACUGGUCCGGCUGGACCUUUCCUUCUGGGGAAUCUCAUGGCCUUCACUGGCUGUGGGGGGAACCAGGACUUUUACUGUGAAAAAAUUAGAGUGUUCAAAGCAGGCCUUUGCUCGAAUACAUUAGCAUGGAAUAAUAGAAAUAGGACGUGCGGUUCUAUUUUGUUGGUUUCUAGGACCGCCGUAAUGAUAAAUAGGGAUAGUCGGGGGCGUCAGUAUUCAGCUGUCAGAGGUGAAUUCUUGGAUUUGCUGAGACUAACUACUGCGAAGCAUCGCCAAGGAUGUUUUCAUUAAUCAGGGAACGAAGGUUAAGGGGAUCGAAGGACGAUCAGAUUCCGUCGUA
RNAcentral lists this ribosomal RNA (995 nucleotides) under uncultured fungus. RNAcentral describes it as "SSU rRNA". It matches the Rfam family "Eukaryotic small subunit ribosomal RNA", at positions 17 to 1022 of the family's 1831-position model. Lineage: Eukaryota; Fungi. The record is from RNAcentral.